CAUCGCCAAUGGUCCCCCACUCCAAUCGAGGUGGGGAGAUACUGGAAACAUGAACUUUAUAACCCCCCCCAAAAAAAUACAAAUAGAAGAGAAAGAGAUUAAGAGAGAAAGAGAGAGGUAUAUUUAUAAAUAGUUGAAAUUAAAUAUUAACUGAGAAUACUGAAAAGCCCUAGUCUUUUAAUUAAAUUAACUGUUUUAAUUUCUAAUUAAAAAGGGAUAUUAAAUAAGUAUAUAAAACACUUUUUUUCUUUUCUCUGCCUCCAUUCUAGGCAUAUGGAUCCUGCUCCAGCUCUCUCCACUAUGGAGUGGGAGGCAAGGUCAGGGUCCAGGGUCAGGGAAGCAUUCCCACACCCACAGCCACCCAUUCGCCCUUCACCCUCAUGCAUGCCUGCCUUCAGACAAGAGGGUUUAUCUCUGCCUUUUGGAGCCUGCCUCCAUGAGCAAGUCUCAGACAGAGGGGAAUAGCUUCUCCUCCUUGGGAAAAGUAAUAUUCCCUCUUCAAAAAUGUUCCACUGUCUUGUGAAGGGCACCCAGGCA
This 537-nucleotide long non-coding RNA is filed under the name Monodelphis domestica (gray short-tailed opossum). Its description in RNAcentral is "lncRNA (ENSMODG00000049613.1)". The record is from RNAcentral. Lineage: Eukaryota; Metazoa; Chordata; Mammalia; Didelphimorphia; Didelphidae.